This 1690-nucleotide ribosomal RNA is filed under the name Longidorus attenuatus. RNAcentral describes it as "SSU rRNA". It matches the Rfam family "Eukaryotic small subunit ribosomal RNA". The record is from RNAcentral. Lineage: Eukaryota; Metazoa; Nematoda; Enoplea; Dorylaimida; Longidoridae.
UGCCUUAUACGGUGAAGCCGCGAAUAGCUCAUUACAACAGCCAUCGUUUACUAGAAAAUAUUUAUCCUACUUGGAUAACUGUGGCAAUUCUAGAGCUAAUACAUGCAAAAAAGCUCAGACUGAAAGGAAUGAGCGCAUUUAUUAGAAUAAAAACCAAUCGGGUCUAAAAGCCCGCUGUUUGGUGAAUCUGAAUAACUUUGCUGAUCGCACGGUCUAGUACCGGCGACGUAUCUUUCAAGUGUCUGCCUUAUCAACUUUCGAUGGUAGGUUAUACGCCUACCAUGGUAGUAACGGGUAACGGAGAAUAAGGGUUCGACUCCGGAGAGGGAGCCUGAGAAACGGCUACCACAUCCAAGGAAGGCAGCAGGCGCGCAAAUUACCCACUUCCAGAACGGAGAGGUAGUGACGAAAAAUAACGAGACAGUCCUCUCUGAGGUCUGUCAUCGGAAUGGGUACAAUUUAAAUCCUUUAACGAGGAUCUAUUGGAGGGCAAGUCUGGUGCCAGCAGCCGCGGUAAUUCCAGCUCCAAUAGCGUAUAUUAAAGUUGUUGCGGUUAAAACGCUCGUAGUUGAAUCUGCGGCCUGGGAGAAUGGACCCCCGAAAGGGUGGUAACUGUUACUCCUAGCCUAAAUUUUUAGUCUACUCUAUGGUGCCUUUAACCGGGUGCUUAGAGUGACUGGAACGUUUACUUUGAAAAAAUUAGAGUGCUUAAAGCAGGCGAAUUUGCCUGAAUAAGGUGCAUGGAAUAAUGGAAUAGGACCUCGGUUCUAUUUUGUUGGUUUUCGGAGCCUGAGGUAAUGAUUAAGAGGAACAGACGGGGGCAUUCGUAUUCCGGCGCUAGAGGUGAAAUUCUUGGACCGCCGGAAGACGGACGACUGCGAAAGCAUUUGCCAAGAAUGUUUUCAUUAAUCAAGAACGAAAGUUAGAGGUUCGAAGGCGAUCAGAUACCGCCCUAGUUCUAACCGUAAACGAUGACAACCAGCGAUUAGUCGGCGUUAAUAUAUGACCCGACUAGCAGCUUCCGGGAAACCAAAGUUUUUCGUUUCCGGGGGAAGUAUGGUUGCAAAGCUGAAACUUAAAGGAAUUGACGGAAGGGCACCACCAGGAGUGGAGCCUGCGGCUUAAUUUGACUCAACACGGGAAAACUCACCCGGCCCGGACACCGUAAGGAUUGACAGACUGAGAGCUCUUUCUUAAUUCGGUGGGUGGUGGUGCAUGGCCGUUCUUAGUUGGUGGAGCGAUUUGUCUGGUUAAUUCCGAUAACGAACGAGACUCUGGCCUAUUAAAUAGCCGGUAUAUAUUGAAAAGUUUGCCGCGCUUCUUAGAGGGACAACCGGCGUCUAGCCGCGUGAAAUAGAGCAAUAACAGGUCUGUGAUGCCCUUAGAUGUCCGGGGCUGCACGCGCGCUACACUGAAAGAAUCAGUAUGCGCAUUCGCCUAGUUCGGAAGAACCGGGUAACCCUAGCAAAUUCUUUCGUGCUUGGGAUAGGGAAUUGCAAUUAUUUCCCUUGAACGAGGAAUUCCCAGUAAAUGCGGGUCAUAAGCUCGCGUUGAUUACGUCCCUGCCCUUUGUACACACCGCCCGUCGCUACUACCGAUUGGAUGACUUAGUGAGGUCUUAGGACCGAGGUGAUGGAGCUUUCAUUAGUUCUUUUGCUUUGGAAAUUUGAUCGAACUACGUUAUCUAGAG